Molecule: ribosomal RNA, 253 nt
Filed under: uncultured bacterium
Lineage: Bacteria
Description: partial 16S ribosomal RNA
Rfam family: Bacterial small subunit ribosomal RNA
Source: RNAcentral
UACGAGGGGGGCGAGCGUUGUUCGGAAUUAUUGGGCGUAAAGGGUGCGUAGGCGGUUUGGUAAGUCUUAUGUGAAAUCUACAGGCUCAACUUGUAGUCUGCAUGAGAAACUGCCGGGCUUGGGUAUGGGAGAGGUGAGUGGAAUUCCUGGUGUAGCGGUGAAAUGCGUAGAUAUCAGGAGGAACACCUGUGGCGAAAGCGGCUCACUGGACCAUAACUGACGCUGAUGCACGAAAGCUAGGGGAGCAAACAGG